This 492-nucleotide ribosomal RNA is filed under the name uncultured bacterium. Its description in RNAcentral is "partial 16S ribosomal RNA". It matches the Rfam family "Bacterial small subunit ribosomal RNA", at positions 29 to 507 of the family's 1533-position model. The record is from RNAcentral.
AGUGAACGCUGGCGGUAGGCCUAACACAUGCAAGUCGAACGGCAGCACAGUAAGAGCUUGCUCUUACGGGUGGCGAGUGGCGGACGGGUGAGGAAUACAUCGGAAUCUACUUUUUCGUGGGGGAUAACGUAGGGAAACUUACGCUAAUACCGCAUACGACCUACGGGUGAAAGCAGGGGAUCUUCGGACCUUGCGCGAUUGAAUGAGCCGAUGUCGGAUUAGCUAGUUGGCGGGGUAAAGGCCCACCAAGGCGACGAUCCGUAGCUGGUCUGAGAGGAUGAUCGGCCACACUGGAACUGGGACACGGUCAAGACUCCUACGGGAGGCAGCAGUGGGGAAUAUUGGACAAUGGGCGCAAGCCUGAUCCAGCCAUACCGCGUGGGUGAAGAAGGCCUUCGGUUUGUAAAGCCCUUUUGUUGGGAAAGAAAAGCAGCAGGUUAAUACCCCGCUGUUCUGACGGUACCCAAAGAAUAAGCACCGGCUAACUUCGUG